AUACGGAGGGUGCAAGCGUUAAUCGGAAUUACUGGGCGUAAAGCGUACGUAGGCGGUUCGUUAAGUUAGAUGUGAAAGCCGCGUGCUUAACCUGGGAACUGCAUUUAAAACUGGCGAACUAGAGUUGAGUAGAGGGGAGUGGAAUUUCAGGUGUAGCGGUGAAAUGCGUAGAGAUCUGAAGGAACACCAGUGGCGAAGGCGGCUCCCUGGACUCAAACUGACGCUGAGGUACGAAAGCGUGGGUAGCAAACGGGAUUAGAAACCCUAGAGUCC
This 273-nucleotide ribosomal RNA is filed under the name uncultured bacterium. RNAcentral's name for it is "partial 16S ribosomal RNA". It matches the Rfam family "Bacterial small subunit ribosomal RNA", at positions 523 to 796 of the family's 1533-position model. The record is from RNAcentral.